UUUCCGUAGGUGAACCUGCGGAAGGAUCAUUACCGAGUUCUCGGGCUCCGGCUCGACUCUCCACCCUUUGUGAACGUACCUCUGUUGCUUCGGCGGCUCGGGAGCAAUCCCGACCGCCGGAGGACCUUCAAACUCCAGUCAGUGAACGUCGACGUCUGAUAAACAAGUUAAUAAACUAAAACUUUCAACAACGGAUCUCUUGGUUCUG
Molecule: unclassified non-coding RNA, 208 nt
Filed under: plant metagenome
Description: partial contains small subunit ribosomal RNA, internal transcribed spacer 1, and 5.8S ribosomal RNA
Source: RNAcentral